UGCAAUUAUAUGCAACACAACAUCUGUGCAACGAAUAUAAUUAGUUGUGCAUCUGAAAUAAACCCAUAAAUAAAAUUGUGCAACAUCAACACACAUUCAUGCAAUUACAAUAUAUAUCUGUGCAGGUGUGCAAUUGAAAUCUACAUAUAAAACAAAUGGAUUAUAAAACAAAGUAUGGAAGAAUAUAAAAAAAAAAAAUCAAGAUGACGAAAAAAUUAAAAAAAAAAUACAUAAAAUUUAAUCUACAAAAAACUAUAACUCUUUUAUUAAAAACUAAUUGGAUAAAAAAACAAAAUGGAUAAAAAACGAAAUUAAAACAAAACAUCUAUUAUUAAUUAAGAAAACCUUAAAAGACAAAUAUAACCUUCUCCUAAUUAAAAACAAAAAAAAACGGCAAAAUCAAACAAAUUCCAUCAUUUUAGGCGCAUUAUUAAUCAAAUUAAUCAUAAC
RNAcentral lists this long non-coding RNA (450 nucleotides) under Salvia miltiorrhiza (redroot sage). RNAcentral describes it as "long non-coding RNA (SMIL_LNC013304)". Lineage: Eukaryota; Viridiplantae; Streptophyta; Magnoliopsida; Lamiales; Lamiaceae. The record is from RNAcentral.